GUGUUUGUGGCUCAGUGGUAGAGCACUUGCCUGGCAUGUGUGAGGCCCUGGGUUCAACCCUCAGAACCACA
Molecule: transfer RNA, 71 nt
Filed under: Ictidomys tridecemlineatus (thirteen-lined ground squirrel)
Lineage: Eukaryota; Metazoa; Chordata; Mammalia; Rodentia; Sciuridae
Description: Spermophilus tridecemlineatus (thirteen-lined ground squirrel) tRNA
Rfam family: tRNA
About the family: Transfer RNA (tRNA) molecules are approximately 80 nucleotides in length. Their secondary structure includes four short double-helical elements and three loops (D, anti-codon, and T loops).
Source: Rfam by way of RNAcentral